RNAcentral lists this ribosomal RNA (1316 nucleotides) under Bacillus velezensis. RNAcentral's name for it is "bacterial SSU rRNA". It matches the Rfam family "Bacterial small subunit ribosomal RNA", at positions 122 to 1419 of the family's 1533-position model. The record is from RNAcentral. Lineage: Bacteria; Bacillati; Bacillota; Bacilli; Caryophanales; Bacillaceae.
UAACCUGCCUGUAAGACUGGGAUAACUCCGGGAAACCGGGGCUAAUACCGGAUGGUUGUUUGAACCGCAUGGUUCAGACAUAAAAGGUGGCUUCGGCUACCACUUACAGAUGGACCCGCGGCGCAUUAGCUAGUUGGUGAGGUAACGGCUCACCAAGGCAACGAUGCGUAGCCGACCUGAGAGGGUGAUCGGCCACACUGGGACUGAGACACGGCCCAGACUCCUACGGGAGGCAGCAGUAGGGAAUCUUCCGCAAUGGACGAAAGUCUGACGGAGCAACGCCGCGUGAGUGAUGAAGGUUUUCGGAUCGUAAAGCUCUGUUGUUAGGGAAGAACAAGUGCCGUUCAAAUAGGGCGGCACCUUGACGGUACCUAACCAGAAAGCCACGGCUAACUACGUGCCAGCAGCCGCGGUAAUACGUAGGUGGCAAGCGUUGUCCGGAAUUAUUGGGCGUAAAGGGCUCGCAGGCGGUUUCUUAAGUCUGAUGUGAAAGCCCCCGGCUCAACCGGGGAGGGUCAUUGGAAACUGGGGAACUUGAGUGCAGAAGAGGAGAGUGGAAUUCCACGUGUAGCGGUGAAAUGCGUAGAGAUGUGGAGGAACACCAGUGGCGAAGGCGACUCUCUGGUCUGUAACUGACGCUGAGGAGCGAAAGCGUGGGGAGCGAACAGGAUUAGAUACCCUGGUAGUCCACGCCGUAAACGAUGAGUGCUAAGUGUUAGGGGGUUUCCGCCCCUUAGUGCUGCAGCUAACGCAUUAAGCACUCCGCCUGGGGAGUACGGUCGCAAGACUGAAACUCAAAGGAAUUGACGGGGGCCCGCACAAGCGGUGGAGCAUGUGGUUUAAUUCGAAGCAACGCGAAGAACCUUACCAGGUCUUGACAUCCUCUGACAAUCCUAGAGAUAGGACGUCCCCUUCGGGGGCAGAGUGACAGGUGGUGCAUGGUUGUCGUCAGCUCGUGUCGUGAGAUGUUGGGUUAAGUCCCGCAACGAGCGCAACCCUUGAUCUUAGUUGCCAGCAUUCAGUUGGGCACUCUAAGGUGACUGCCGGUGACAAACCGGAGGAAGGUGGGGAUGACGUCAAAUCAUCAUGCCCCUUAUGACCUGGGCUACACACGUGCUACAAUGGACAGAACAAAGGGCAGCGAAACCGCGAGGUUAAGCCAAUCCCACAAAUCUGUUCUCAGUUCGGAUCGCAGUCUGCAACUCGACUGCGUGAAGCUGGGAAUCGCUAGUAAUCGCGGAUCAGCAUGCCGCGGUGAAUACGUUCCCCGGGCCCUUGUACACAACCGGCCCGUCACACCACGAGAAGUUUGUAAC